Molecule: unclassified non-coding RNA, 376 nt
Filed under: Cladophialophora sp.
Lineage: Eukaryota; Fungi; Ascomycota; Eurotiomycetes; Chaetothyriales; Herpotrichiellaceae
Also listed under: 1 other name
Description: partial contains 5.8S ribosomal RNA, internal transcribed spacer 2, and large subunit ribosomal RNA
Source: RNAcentral
AACGCACCUUGCACCCCUUGGCAUUCCGAGGGGUACACCCGUUUGAGUGUCGUGAAAUCAUCAAAAAACCUUUCUUCUUUUGAUCUUUUCUUGGUCAGAAAAAGGAUUUUUGGACUUGGAGGUUCCAUGCUUGCUUUCAAAAGCGAAAGUGAGCUCCUCUCAAAUAAAUUAGUGGGGUCCGCUUUGCUGAUCCUUGAUGUGAUAAGAUGUUUCUACAUUUUGGAUUUAGCACUGUCCCUUGGAUGCCUGCUCCUAACCGUCUUUUGGACAAUGAUGGUGCUCCGGUCCUUGCCAUCUACACGUUGGCGAAGGGGCUGGACCCACAAAAGAAAAAAACCUUGACCUCAAAUCGGGUGAGACUACCCGCUGAACUUAA